This 449-nucleotide ribosomal RNA is filed under the name uncultured bacterium. RNAcentral describes it as "bacterial SSU rRNA". It matches the Rfam family "Bacterial small subunit ribosomal RNA", at positions 340 to 786 of the family's 1533-position model. The record is from RNAcentral.
UACGAAGGCAGCAGUGGGGAAUAUUGCACAAUGGGCGCAAGCCUGAUGCAGCCAUGCCGCGUGUAUGAAGAAGGCCUUCGGGUUGUAAAGUACUUUCAGUCGUGAGGAAGGUGUUAAGGUUAAUAACCUUAGCAAUUGACGUUAGCGACAGAAGAAGCACCGGCUAACUCCGUGCCAGCAGCCGCGGUAAUACGGAGGGUGCGAGCGUUAAUCGGAAUUACUGGGCGUAAGGGCACGCAGGCGGUUAAUUAAGUUGGAUGUGAAUCCCCGGGCUUAACCUGGGAAUGGCAUUCAAGACUGGUUAGCUAGAGUCUUGUAGAGGGGGUAGAAUUCCAUGUGUAGCGGUGAAAUGCGUAGAGAUGUGGAGGAAUACCGGUGGCGAAGGCGGCCCCUGGACAAAGACUGACGCUCAUGUGCGAAAGCGUGGGGAGCAAACAGGAUUAGAUACC